UACAGAGGUGGCAAGCGUUGUUCGGAAUUACUGGGCGUAAAGGGCGCGUAGGCGGCCCGUCAAGUCCCGUGUGAAAGCCCCCGGCUCAACCGGGGAACGGCGCGGGAAACUAGCAGGCUUGAGUUCGGGAGAGGGAAGCGGAAUUCCGGGUGUAGCGGUGAAAUGCGCAGAUAUCAGGAAGAACACCGAUGGCGAAAGCAGCUCUCUGGGACGGUACUGACGCUGAGGCGCGAAAGCGUGGGGAGCGAACAGG
Molecule: ribosomal RNA, 253 nt
Filed under: uncultured bacterium
Lineage: Bacteria
Description: partial 16S ribosomal RNA
Rfam family: Bacterial small subunit ribosomal RNA
Source: RNAcentral